UAUCAAUAAGCGGAGGAAAAGAAACUAACAAGGAUUCCCCUAGUAACUGCGAGUGAAGCGGGAAAAGCUCAAAUUUAAAAUCUGGUGGCCUCUGGUCACCCGAGUUGUAAUUUAGAGAAGCGUCUUCCGCGCUGGACCGUGCACAAGUCUCCUGGAAUGGAGCGUCAUAGAGGGUGAGAAUCCCGUCUUUGGCACGGACGCACCAGGGCUUUUGUGAUGCGCUCUCGAAGAGUCGAGUUGUUUGGGAAUGCAGCUCAAAAUGGGUGGUGAACUCCAUCUAAAGCUAAAUAUUGGCGAGAGACCGAUAGCGAACAAGUACCGUGAGGGAAAGAUGAAAAGCACUUUGGAAAGAGAGUGAAACAGUACGUGAAAUUGUUGAAAGGGAAACGCUUGAAGUCAGUCGCGUCGACCGAGACUCAGCCUUGCCUCGGCUCGGUGUACUUCUCGGCCGACGGGUCAGCAUCAAUUUUGCCCCUCGGAUAAUGGCGAGAGAAAGGUGGCACCCUCUCGGGUGUGUUAUAGUCUCCCGUCGGAUGCGAGGGUCGGGAUUGAGGAACUCGGCACGUACCGUGCUUAGGAUGUUGGCAUAAUGGCUUUAAACGACC
RNAcentral lists this ribosomal RNA (605 nucleotides) under Russula nigricans. RNAcentral's name for it is "LSU rRNA". It matches the Rfam family "Eukaryotic large subunit ribosomal RNA", at positions 41 to 649 of the family's 3401-position model. The record is from RNAcentral. Lineage: Eukaryota; Fungi; Basidiomycota; Agaricomycetes; Russulales; Russulaceae.